AGCCGCGGAAGUGGCGGAAGACGCGGAAGUGGUGGAAGACGAAGUCUAGGCAACCCGAGUGGUCCCUUUUCAUCCUCAACGUAGGUGAUAUUGCCACCUUUCCCUGAUCAUAGUGAAGGAAAAUGAAUCUACAUGAGAUAUAGAGUGAAGUAUAUAUAUAUAGGGCUAGAAAGUAGCAAACGGACUCCGUUACCAUCUAUUUGUUUUCGAUGAUGAAGCCUCUGAAUUGACGAUCUGUACCGUUGAACGUGAUCUAUACCACUUGAAGCAUCUAGAAAUCAAAUUUGAUACUUUUUCGAUAUUGUUUUCUUGUCCAUUAAGUGGACACAAAAAUGAACGGUUGCAAAUAAAUAUUCUUUAAAAAAUAAUAAUAGGAGUCUUGUAAUCAAGAUUAAGAGUAUAUAUCUUGUUCUAAAUAGUUUAAAGAAUUUUUUAACAAAAAAUUCAAUUGAUUUGGAUAUCUUUACGCAGUUAAACGAGAAAACGUCUCAUAUCGACCAUUAAAAUUAUAAAUUUUGAAAUUCUUUGAUCAUUAGGUAAAUGAUAUCGAAAAGAUUUGAAAUUUGAUUUCUAAAUACUUUAACUAAUAUAGAUCAUGUUCAACGAUGCCGAUCGUCGAUUUGGAGGCUCUAUCUUCAAAAACAAAUGAAUGACAAUAGAGCCUGUUUGCUAUCGAUACGUAUUUCUAGCUCAACUCUAUAUAUAUAUAUAUAUAUAUAUAUAUAUAUAUAGGAGAGAGGAGAGAGAGAAGGAGAGAGAGAGAGAGAAGAGACGAGAGAGAGAGACGAAGAGUAGAGAGAGAGAUCUAGUUUGUCGCGAGUAUAUAAUAUAUGAUUCCAGCAUUGAUUGACGAUAUAGUUCGAUAUCAUCAAUCUAUACAUAAAUAAAAGGCGAAACCCUCACUAGGCCACACUGUUGCUUUCUCACGACCCUCCCCCCCCCCUUCUCAAGCUUGCUGAGGGGGGGCGGCUUCUCUCACACACACAAGCCAACAGCACCUUCUUGGCUUCUCGAUCCCGAAGUCUCUCUCCUCUCUCUCGCUGGUGCGCCUGGAGAGGGGACUGGCGCACAUGCCUCCCCCCCCCGGCUCUCUCUCUCUCUCUGCUGCCCCGUCCCUCUCUUGUCUCGUCUUCUCUCGUCGCUCUCUCUCUCUCUCAUCUCUUCUCUGACCGUGCCCCCAGGCGAGAGGGACCCGCGCACCAUGGCAGGGCCCCCCGCGUUGUCUCUCCUCUCUCUCUGAGCUCUCGCUCCCUCCUCCCGCUGCCUCCUCCCACUCGUACUAUGGCCACGUGGCCCGUCCCCGUCCGACUCUCUCGGCUCUGCUCUCCGCAGUCCUCUCGACCCUUAACACAUCUUCCGCGUGGACGUGGGCACCGACGACAGAAUCUCCCUCAUAUCAUCUCUCGCUCUCGUCUCCUCGCCUCUCUCUGCGGCGCGCCAGGAACGCUUCACGCGUGGAGGAGGCGCGCGCCGGGUCUGCGGUGUCGCCCCAUGUCAGACCAUGGCAAGGCGUCCCCACAGCCCCUACCGGUUCUGUCUCUCUCUUCUACGUGUCAUCCCCGCUUUAACGAACCAACCACCCGAAAACCCCCCUCGAAUCCUUCCCACACGCGCCCCCCUACCCCGGAUCUCUCGCUCCCCCCCGCGUCCCCGCGCCGGCCUGGCCGGCGACCCCCCCCGCGCGUUACCCCGCGCACCCUGUACCUGGCCCUGUCUGUUUCGCCUCGGUCCUCCUCACCCCCCCAGCCCCGGCUCUCUCGUCUUCCACCAUUUUCCUGCUCCCCCUCACGAGGGGCAGGGCGAGGCGCGAGGGGGGGCGGCGCGAGCGGGCGGCGGCGCGCAGGCGGGAUCAACGUGGUCUGGCGCGCGGCACCGGCGCGGGCGGCAGGGGGCAGGCACGGAGCGCGGGGCUCGGCGCGGGCGGGCCGAAGACGGCUGCGGCAGCAGGGCAGAGCGAGCGUCGCGGGGAAUAGGCGCGUGGGCGUGUGCGGGGGCGUGCGGGGGCCGUGCGGGCGAGCGGUGGCAUGCGGGGGGCCCAGUGCGGGACCCAGCAGGGGAGAGGGAGAAAGAAUUUUUUUCCCCUCUGCUCUUCAUUUCUUUUUCUUUUUUUUUUUCUCGUCUGCCCUUUUUCCUUCAAAUUUUUUAUUUUAACUGCCGGGCCCGGCCAAACCCUGCGACCAAGGGCCGGAGCCCUAACCGCUUGGCGCUCUGCGCACAUUCAGCAGUCUCAUCGUUGACGGCUCGCGUGAGCGUCUGGCGCCGGAACAUCACGGGGCUCCUGCAUGCGGUCCACGCACGCGGGCGGCCCUCAUGUGGACGCGCUGAGGGAGACGGGGUACGUUGGACGCCCUCUCUCCCUCUUUGUUGCUCAAUUUAUAUAUAUAUAAUAAUAUAUGAUCAUAAAUAUAUAAGGUCGCAUCUGCCUGCCCCGCCCGCUGGAGGGUUCCGCGGCCACCCAGAGCUCCGUUCGUGGUUAUAAUAUAUAUAUAUUAUAUAUAUAUAUAUAUACAUACCCAAUUUUGAAUUUUUUCACGAUAAUUUUAAAUUUUAAAUUUAAUUUUAAAAUUUAAAAGUUGAAAUUUAGAAUUUAACAUCAAAUUUAAAUUUGAAAAUUUAAAAAUAUCAAAUUUAAAAUUUAAAACUAUAAUUUUAGUUUUGAAAUAAUAAAUUAUAAAUAUUUUAGUUUUAAAUAUUCAAAUUGUAAAAUUUAAAUUUAAAUUUUAAAAUUUAUUAUAAAAGGGGGGAGAGAGAGGAAAAAGAUGGAUAUAACAUUGUUCCACAUAGGGAUGGGAACUAGGAAUAGCUAUUCUCACUCUUAAAAAUUAGUGUUUGGGCAUGUUUGGGGGCUUCAAUAUUAAUGUUCUUCGCGGGCCCAGCUGUGGAUUCUUUUGUAAAAGGAGAAAACGGUGUUCACAUGAAUGAACCUGUUUUCGUUUUCGACCUUAGAAUCUAAUUAGUUACUUUCAUAAUCAUAUAUUUAUAUAUAUGUAUACGCGCGCCCGCGCACACACACACACACAUAUAAACAGUACACAUAUUUCAAAAUUUUAAGUGACGAUAUACAUGUUCAGAAAUUUAAUGAUAAAAGCCAGAAAGUAAACACAGUAAAUUAGAAGUAACGAUAUACAUGCUUGAAAAUUUAAGGCAAAAAAAACUUGGUCAAAUGCUCACUCAGAUAGUCAAAACAUCUUCAUUCUUUUCAUAGCAUAGCCAAAACGUUUUUUCCCCCUUUUAGUAAGAUUUUAUCUAUUUUUUCCAACUUUGUCAAAGAAAUGUUGUAUUUUAUAAACUAAUUAAGGAAUAAUCAUAACAAACAAUAGUAUGAAUUAUAUUAUAACUGCGUAUGGGAAAAGAGGAGGAGGCAGUUGAGGACAGGCAAAACUACCCAUAAGCAUAGAGCAGUAGUAGGAACAGCAGGAAACCGCAAGGGGAGAAAGUGUGCAGGGGAAAAAACGCAGCAAUGACAGAACAUAGUUUGGCGAAUAGUAGAUUACCAUUAAUUAAUCUAUUUGCUUUCUUUUAAAUUACAAUCUUGAUUAUUUAUGUUAUGCAGGCGCGGUCACGCCCGAGCGGGAGCAGGCGCAAGCGAGCAGGAGCGGGAGCGGGAGCGGGCGCGGGUGCGGGGCAGGUGCGGACGCUGCGCCCGCGCAUGAGCGUAGGGAAAGGAGUUUGGUGGAGAUAUUUUUUUUCCCCUUCUCUCUCUUUACAUAUAGAGAAGAGGAUUUUAGGGUUUUUUUUAAUUUUAAUUUAAUUUUGACUUUAAUUUAAGGUAUUUAAAUUUAGAUAUUUAAUUUGUAAUUAUAGAUUUUGAAUUAGAAAUUGNUAUAUGAUUUUAGUUUCUGAAUUGUAGAUUUUAAAUUUUAUAUUCAAAUUAUAAAGUUUAAAAUUUUAAAAAUUAUAUAUAUUAAUUUACUAAAUAUAUCAUGGAAUGUCAAAUUACCUAACUGAAUUCCUGAAAAUUCAAAAUUACAGCGAGUUAUUCGAUGCAUAUAAAAGUUUAGAAUUAGAAAGAUUAGGAAUAAACAAAACUCUAACUAAAAUCAUAUAUUCAAAAUAUACAAAUUGAAUUAAGAUAAAAUGUAUUUUUUAAAAUUUAAAUGUUCAAAAUGUUAAUUUCAAAUUUUAGAAUUUAAACAAAUGGGUGCUAAAAAUUUUUAAUUUUAAAUAAAUUGUAUAAAUUUCCCGCCGCGAAGCGCGGGCCUACACUAGUAAUAAUAAUGAUUCAAUGGUGAAAAUGCGGAUAGUAUAUAUAUUAAUAGUAUUACAGCUAAAGAGAGAGAGAGAGAGAGAUUUUUUAGAAACAUUUAUUAUAAACAAUUGAGUCGUCUUUUGUUUUUAAAGAGGAAUAUUUAAUCAAAGAAAAAUCAUUAUUGUGUACUCAAAAAAGGGUGUAGAUCUUACACAUCAUCUAAAUAUAGAUAAAAAUUCGAAUGAGUUUUAGUAUAAAAAAAAAAUUGAUGUGGUAAAUAAAAAAUUAAUGGUUCUUGAAUGGUAUAAGUGUAAGAUAUAUAUACACCCCACGUUGCAGUGUACCAAUAACAUUACUUUUUGGUUAGACAUCUUUGUUAUAACUGAAACUAAUGGAUUAUACUUUUUAUAUUUAACAGUUUAAUUGUCGCUGAAAUAACUAGAUUUUAAUUUUAUAAUGUAAGCACUAUUUUCGAAGGAGAUUGUAGUGAUCAUUAUUAUAAUUCAAGUUUUUAAUGGUGAUCAAAGACUGUUUUUAUAAUGUUCUUUAAUGGGUUUUGUUUAAAAUUUGGUGGCAAUAGUAAUUGUGUGAAAGCACUUUAUAGUUAAAUUAAAUAUACCGAGCUAGACUCCUAUACUUUCGAAAGUAUAUAGACCUCCGUACUUGUAAGUUGUUUUCGAUGAUAGGACGUCCGAUUUGGCGAUCGAUUUUAUUAGAUAUGAUCUAUGCCAUUGGAACUAUCUAGAAACCAAAUUUCAUAACUUUUUGACUUAGUUUGCCUAGUGAACGAGUAGCCUCAAAAUGAAUGGCUGAAAAUGAAAAUCUCAUAAAAAAUAGUGAUAAAGAAUUCAAAUUUUAAAUCAGAAAUAUUGUUCUUGCUCCCGAUGUUACGUAGAAUUUUCUAUUAAAGUUUCAUGUAAUUUGAAUACUUCUACACCGUUGAACUUAAAAACGUGCCACAUCAACCAUUAAAAUAGUUAUUUUCGAGACCAUAUGAUCAUUUGGUAAAUGAUGUCGAAAAAUUAUAAAAUUUGGUUUCUAAAGUUCCAAUAGCAUAGAUUCCAUUAGACAUGAUCUACACUAUUAUAACUAUCUAGAAAUCAAAUUUCAUAACUUUUUGACUUAGUUUGCCUAAUGAACGAGUAACUUCAAAAUGAACGACUGAAAAUAAAAAUCUCACAAAAAACAGUAAUAAAGAACUCAAAUUUUAAAUCAGAAAUAUUGUUCUUUUUUCUGAUGUUAUGUAGAAUUUUCGAUUAAAGUUUUAUGUAAUUUGGAUACUUCUACACCGUUGAACUUAAAAACGUGCCACAUCGACCAUUAUCAUUUUUGAGACCCUGUGAUCAUUUGGUAAAUGAUGUCGAAAAAUUAUAAAAUUUAGUUUCUAGAUAGUUCCAAUAGCAUAGAUUAUACCUAAUAGGACCGAUUGUCGAAUCGAAUAUUCUAUCAUCAAAAACAACUUACAAGUACGGAAGCCUCCAUACUUUCGAAAGCACGGAAGAUGUACUCAUAUAUACCUUAUAAUGACACUUGUAAUUAUUGGUAUAGUAUUUAUAUUUUAGGGGCAUUUAUUUUUAUCUUUACCGGCUAUCCGAAUAAAAGCCACUAAAAUCUUUUCCGACCCUGCCUAGAGCGGCAAUUAUAUCCAUUGUUAGUAAACGAAUUGGUGGCGAAUACAAAUGCUGGAAUACAAAUGCUGCUAAUUUAUAAAGUAAUCGCCACUAAAAGUUAAUUUUGUUAUAGUUAAAGCUAAAAACAAGGGAUGUAUUGGAUCAAGAGAAAAUGCCAUUGUGAUGCAUGAAUUAAUUGCAAAUAGCUAUACUUUAAAACUAGGAGUGGAAAUAUAAAUUUUUAAAAUUGAGAUAUCUGUUUUGCAAAUAGCCCAGCAUUUAGAUAACUAUUUAGAUAACCUUCAAAUUAAGGAAAUAAAUGUUAAAUAAGUGAUUACUCUUAAAAUUAACUUAUUAGAUAUUGGUGCUUUGGUCAUUUAUAUUUAACACUUCAUCUUAUGUCUAGGUUCAAAAAAUUUGAUUGGUCUAGAACAUAGGCGUAAAUUAAAUAGAAUGAGGUGAUUUGAACUCAAAAUCUCAUACUUUAAUGUUUUUUCGUUCAAUUUCAUUUUAAAGAAAACAAUCUUUUAUGGAAAAAAACUAGUGUUUUUUUUUUCCUAAUAAUACAGAAAUAUAAAAAUGCUAGUUUUCCGUGAAUAUAAAUUAAAGAUUUUCAAAAAUAUAAUACUUGUUUUUUCUACAAAUCAAAUACUCGAAAAAUUAGAAAAUGAGUUUUCGAUGAAAAAUUUUAUUCUUCGAAAACGUUUUUCAACAUUUUUCCGAGAAACCAAAUAGCCCCUAAGAUCAUAAUGAUAUUUUGUGUACGCUAAAUUACAGAAACUUCCUUACAAAUACUCACUUUGUUACUUUUUCUUUUUAACUUUUAAAAAUCUAUAUUUUACCCCUUAAUAUUUCAAAUUGGUUCCAUCACUAUUCCAGCAAUUUUUUAUAAUUUAUACCGAAAAAACUCUUCAAAAAUUAUUUUGCCUUGUCCAUUAACGCCGUACCCAACUAAAAAUAUUUUUGAAAUUUUAAGUGAGAGAAAUGUAAGUUUUCGAAAGUCAGAAAAAAAUAUAUAUAUAUUUAUAUAAGAGUUUUCUGUAAUUCAGCAUUUGUUUAUUUGUAUCACAAAACAAGGGCACGAAGAGAGUCACCGACCGGUAGUUGUGGUUGUCACAUUUGAUUUUUCCUCGGGGGCCGCCGGAGAGGCGAAGGGGACUUGCCGUGCCGCGGCCCCGGCGGCAAACACGCCGGCGACGAGCAGCAGGACGGCGAAGGUGAGGAA
This 7024-nucleotide long non-coding RNA is filed under the name Ananas comosus (pineapple). Its description in RNAcentral is "long non-coding RNA (ACOM_LNC017497)". The record is from RNAcentral. Lineage: Eukaryota; Viridiplantae; Streptophyta; Magnoliopsida; Poales; Bromeliaceae.